This 272-nucleotide ribosomal RNA is filed under the name Escherichia coli. RNAcentral's name for it is "partial 16S ribosomal RNA". It matches the Rfam family "Bacterial small subunit ribosomal RNA", at positions 1 to 269 of the family's 1533-position model. Lineage: Bacteria; Pseudomonadati; Pseudomonadota; Gammaproteobacteria; Enterobacterales; Enterobacteriaceae. The record is from RNAcentral.
AAAUUGAAGAGUUUGAUCAUGGCUCAGAUUGAACGCUGGCGGCAGGCCUAACACAUGCAAGUCGAACGGUAACAGGAAACAGCUUGCUGUUUCGUUGACGAGUGGCGGACGGGUGAGUAAUGUCUGGGAAACUGCCUGAUGGAGGGGGAUAACUACUGGAAACGGUAGCUAAUACCGCAUAACGUCGCAAGACCAAAGAGGGGGACCUUCGGGCCUCUUGCCAUCGGAUGUGCCCAGAUGGGAUUAGCUAGUAGGUGGGGUAACGGCUCACC